RNAcentral lists this ribosomal RNA (452 nucleotides) under uncultured bacterium. RNAcentral describes it as "bacterial SSU rRNA". It matches the Rfam family "Bacterial small subunit ribosomal RNA", at positions 340 to 785 of the family's 1533-position model. The record is from RNAcentral.
UACGGAAGGCAGCAGUGGGGAAUAUUGCACAAUGGGCGCAAGCCUGAUGCAGCCAUGCCGCGUGUAUGAAAAAGGCCUUCGGGUUGUAAAGUACUUUCAGUCGUGAGGAAGGUGUUAAGGUUAAUAACCUUAGCAAUUGACGUUAGCGACAGAAGAAGCACCGGCUAACUCCGUGCCAGCAGCCGCGGUAAUACGGAGGGUGCGAGCGUUAAUCGGAAUUACUGGGCGUAAAGGGCACGCAGGCGGUUAAUUAAGUUGGAUGUGAAAUCCCCGGGCUUAACCUGGGAAUGGCAUUCAAGACUGGUUAGCUAGAGUCUUGUAGAGGGGGUAGAAUUCCAUGUGUAGCGGUGAAAUGCGUAGAGAUGUGGAGGAAUACCGGUGGCGAAGGCGGCCCCUGGACAAAGACUGACGCUCAUGUGCGAAAGCGUGGGGAGCAAACAGGGAUUAGAACC